CACGGUGGUGGGAGGAGGGAGUCAGCUGCCUGGCUCUAGGCACUGACCGUGCCCAGCACCUCUCCCCCUGGUCUCCGCCAGGAAUGCAUGGUCCAAGUAUGCAUGAGGACACAGACUGGCAAGAUCUUUAUGACUGGUUAAGACUCAAAGAUGAGAAGACAGGAGACCUGAUGAGUGAGUCCAGAGGGCUCGAACCAGAAUCAGGAGAGCUGGCAAAACAUGAUGUGGCCAGAGUGCCAUGGAAGUCAAGGCGAGCGGUGGACUCCACCUGCUGGGCAUGAAGAUACAGAGCCAGCACGAAGACAGAGAUGACGAUGGGUGUCACCACCUUCAGCGCCACCUUGGUCGCAUGCUCAGGGCUGUCAAGAAGAACCACCAGAAGUUCCUGUCUGACUCUGACAUCCAGCCUCAACUUCCUCGCAUGUUGCUCUUGUGGCAAGACAAGGGCAUUUCUGCUGGAUCACCUGUUCUGCCCUGCCCAUCUCCACCUGGAUCUGCUCCUCGCAGGCCCUCAGAAUGAAAGAACAGCUGAGCAGAUGAGCAGACGAAUCCCUUGCCUUCCCUAGCCCCAGUAGAAGCUGGCUGUGCCCUACGACUGAGGUGCCCUGUGCUGCCAGGACCCAGGCUCCUGCCAUCCGUGCCACCCUGGACGCUCCCCAGAUCCCGCAGAGGACCGAAGAAGGUGCUGCAUACAUGGCAUUGGCGGUGACCAGAAGGUCAGCGUUGUCAAAGAGGGUGACGCCGGGCACCUCGACAAUGAGCACAUAGAUGAACUCGAUGGCCAGCAUGAGCACCAGCUUCCCGAUGCAGCUGAUCUGCAGGAACACGGAGCAGGCCAGCAGGCUGAGCAGCACACUGUAGGUGAAGUACUGGAGAGAGAGGGCCUGUCAGAUCCCAUGAGGCCCUGGGCCUCACUGGCCCCUCCCCACUUUCACCUGACCUGGGGGUGGGGCUGAUGGAAGGCAGCCAGCAGGGGAGACAAAAGGCCCAGAGCCUGUCUAGGGAACUGGAGGUGGACUCCGGGAUGAAGUGGACCCAGAAGUUGGUACAGAUCAACUGUCAGUCGGUCAGCAGAUCCCCUGGCAUAGCUCCAAGCUCAGGCUGACCUGACUCGCCCUCUCUAAGCCUCAGUUUCCCCGUCAGUAAAGCUCCCUUUCAUAUAUGUCCAUCCAUGAACACCGAUGGUGCUAUGCCUGGCACCAUCAGCAACUGCAGGGAACAAGGGCCCCACCCUGAGCUACGGUUCGAACAAGGACAGUUCUAAAACCCAUAAGGACUUUCAGAACUCCCCCAGCUGACGGGACACCUGAACUAGCCUGCCUAAUGACAUGCCAGAUGGUAAGUGCCACCUUCACUCCACUUCCUGCGACUGUUCACACACGUGCCUGCAGAGACAGUGCUGUCUGGCCAUCACGUUCUGCCCAGCCUCCUCUGUGGGCAUGUGUGAAGCAAACUCCUAAAAUCUGAGAGCGUCUGCAGGCCCAAUACACUGGCUCUAAAUGAGGCUUCCCCAGAGAGACCACCAGGCCCUGCACUAUGACCCUGGAGCCUAUCUCUGUCCUCUGCUGGCGGAGGGGCUGAGCCAGCUGAUCUCAGGGCCCUCGUGGAUCUUUCAUCUCCUGGUGCCAGUUCCAGACUUCAGCAUCUGUUCUUUGGCUCUUUACAUCCGGGACCAUUAUUUCUGAGUUUUCUCCACCCUCACUGUUUCAACGGCAUCUCUGCCUCUGGGCUGCAGCCGGCUAGUAGGGACUAGCUGUGGGCAGCCCCGGGCUUUCAAGAGUCAACCAAGGUACUGUAAGGGAGGUCCCUGGUGAUUAAAGUCAGCACCAGCAUCAGAAAGGAGAAGACAGGAGAGCCUGCCCAGAUAAUUCAGUACUAGAGUCCCAUCUACCCGUCCCGUAGAGGGAAGGCCCUUACCAUCCAGCCAGUACCUGGUACAGGAUAGGUACUGCCUACACCUCAGCUAUGCCGUGAACACUGGCUUUGUAAUAAGGAGGCUCCUGGGGCUUGGAAGGGACUGGGAGAAGGAGCCUUUGUGGCCACCACCUUGCCAGAUCUGUGGGGCCAAGUGGGGAAGGGCAGGAACAUCUGCCUCUGCCGCCAUCCCCACACCCUGCCCCCGUCUCUCGAACCUCUGGGAAGUUGCAGUUGGGCUGGGGGCUGCCACAGAAGCCCUGCUCGUCACCCAGGCUGUAGUUGAAGGCCGACUCCAUCACGUGGCACGCGUUGACCUGGUUCACCGUGAUGUUGUACUCCGUUGCCAGGCAGCCCACCAGGUUCUUAGAGUUGCACAUGAACUAGGGUGGGGAAGAGGAGAUUGAGGUUGGUCAGCCCCUGCAAGCCAGGCUAGGGAGGUCCAUCCCACACGAUGGUGGGCAGUACGAGUCCACCCUGUCUUUGAAGCAUGGCUGUACACACACCAGGAACAAAAGAGGCACCUGAAGGACACCUUGCUCUGGCUACAGACAUGGCACACCCAUGUACUUCCAAAGGCGGUGCCUUGUAAUCCAUGCUGGGGACAUCCCCUGUACUCUUUCUAGUUUGAAAACAAGGAACUGAAAGCCUGUGUGAGAUGCUAACAACAGUCAAAUUAGACCGCAGCCUGAGACGGGACAU
Molecule: long non-coding RNA, 2616 nt
Organism: Arvicola amphibius (Eurasian water vole)
Lineage: Eukaryota; Metazoa; Chordata; Mammalia; Rodentia; Cricetidae
Exons: 4
Source: RefSeq, a predicted model, not a curated record